RNAcentral lists this unclassified non-coding RNA (328 nucleotides) under Hevea brasiliensis (rubber tree). Lineage: Eukaryota; Viridiplantae; Streptophyta; Magnoliopsida; Malpighiales; Euphorbiaceae. The record is from RNAcentral.
GGGAGUUGGAACUUUCCAUAGACACACCCAUCUUUAAAACAAGAAUAUUCCCAUCAUUUCUAGGUUGUACCAAUUUUUGUUAAAUCCUAUCAGUGGUAGGAUACAAAGUGCAUAAAUGGUAAAAUAGAAUAUCUAGUGGGAAAAUUUGAGCAUGACUCUGGAAAAUUUGACAUCUCCCAUCUUCCAAUUUGAAAUUCUCAUACAGCCUACUAAAUCAUUCCACCUUACAGUUCAAUCAUACUAAAAUCACAUGGAAACAAAAGAAUAUGCAGACAAGUCGUGUAAAGAAAAUUAACAGUGUGUGCACAGAUUCAAAGGGAAGAGAAUA